UGCGUAGGUGGCAAGCGUUGUCCGGAAUUAUUUGGGGCGUAAAGGGCGCGCAGGCGGCCUGUCAAGUCUGUCUUAAAAGUGCGGGGCUCAACCCCGUGAUGGGACGGAAACUGGCAGGCUGGAGUGUCGGAGAGGAAAGCAGAAUUCCUAGUGUAGCGGUGAAAUGCGUAGAUAUUAGGAGGAAUACCAGUGGCGAAAGCGGCUUUCUGGACGACAACUGACGCUGAGGCGCGAAAGCCAGGGGAGCAAACGGG
Molecule: ribosomal RNA, 254 nt
Filed under: uncultured microorganism
Description: partial small subunit ribosomal RNA
Rfam family: Bacterial small subunit ribosomal RNA
Source: RNAcentral